Molecule: ribosomal RNA, 468 nt
Filed under: uncultured bacterium
Lineage: Bacteria
Description: partial 16S ribosomal RNA
Rfam family: Bacterial small subunit ribosomal RNA
Source: RNAcentral
GACGAACGCUGGCGGCGUGCUUAACACAUGCAAGUCGAACGGAAAGGCCCUGCUUUUGUGGGGUGCUCGAGUGGCGAACGGGUGAGUAACACGUGAGUAACCUGCCCUUGACUUUGGGAUAACAUCAGGAAACUGGGGCGAAUACCGGAUAGGAGCUCCUGCUGCACGGUGGGGGUUGGAAAGAUUCGGCGGUUGGGGAUGGACUCGCGGCUUAUCAGCUGGAUGGUGGGGUAGUGGCUUACCAAGCCUUUGACGGGUAGCCGGCAUGAGAGGGGGACCGGCCACCUGAGGACUGAGGUAGGGCCCAGACUCCUACGGGAGGCAGAAGUGGAGAAUAUUGCGCAAUGGGCGGGAGCCUGAUACAGCAACGCCGCGUGCGGGAUGCCGGGCUACGAGUUGUAAACCGCUUUCGCCUGUGACGAAGCGUGAGUGACGGUAAUGGGUAAAGAAGCACCGGCUAACUACGUG